GCGGCAUGGCGGCAGCAGCAGAGCGACGUGCGGCGUGGGGCCACAGUGGAUUUGCUGUUGCUUGCGUGUCUGGAAAUGUAUCCGGCGUCCCCGAAAAAUAUUAGCGUUGUACUGAAUUGAUGAUUUAUUCGUCGCACGAAAAAUAUUUAUAGAUAUGAUGGGUAAUUGAUUUACUCUGGAAUAAAUGAAGUCGGAGAUAAAUGAGACGGAUAAUAGUCACGGCGAUUAAUAUUUAAUCUGAUAACCGGAAUUUGGAAUAAAAAGGAAUAGAUAACAGACGAUGCGAAUAAUAUUUAGUCGGUCGAUUGAAAUUGAGAAUGAAAAGAGAUAGAUAAAGGAUGAGACGAUAUUUAUUUGGACGAUCGAGGUGCAGAAUAAAUAGAAAUACUUGUAGGAUAGAUUAUUGGGAGAGA
Molecule: long non-coding RNA, 413 nt
Filed under: Oryza brachyantha (malo sina)
Lineage: Eukaryota; Viridiplantae; Streptophyta; Magnoliopsida; Poales; Poaceae
Description: long non-coding RNA (OBRA_LNC002692)
Source: RNAcentral